RNAcentral lists this ribosomal RNA (261 nucleotides) under uncultured archaeon. Its description in RNAcentral is "partial 16S ribosomal RNA". It matches the Rfam family "Archaeal small subunit ribosomal RNA", at positions 748 to 1008 of the family's 1478-position model. The record is from RNAcentral.
CAGCCGUAAACUAUGCGCGUUAGGUGUACUGGUGACCACGAGUCACCGGGGUGCCGAAGGGAAACCGUGAAACGUGCCGCCUGGGAAGUACGGUCGCAAGGCUGGAACUUAAAGGAAUUGGCGGGGGAGCACCACAACGGGUGGAGCCUGCGGUUUAAUUGGACUCAACGCCGGAAAUCUCACCGGAUAGGACAGACAUAUGAUAGUCGGGCUGAAGACUCUACUUGAUGAUCUGAGAGGAGGUGCAUGGCGUCAGUGACU